AACGAACGCUGGCGGCAUGCCUAACACAUGCAAGUCGAACGAGACCUUCGGGUCUAGUGGCGCACGGGUGCGUAACGCGUGGGAACCUGCCCUUAGGUUCGGAAUAACUCCCCGAAAGGGGUGCUAAUACCGGGUAAUGUCUUCGGACCAAAGAUUUAUCGCCUUUGGAGGGGCCCGCGUUGGAUUAGCUAGGUGGUAGGGUAAAAGCCUACCAAGGCGACGAUCCAUAGCUGGUCUGAGAGGAUGAUCAGCCACACUGGGACUGAGACACGGCCCAGACUACUACGGGAGGCAGCAGUGGGGAAUAUUGGACAAUGGGCGAAAGCAUGAUCCAGCAAUGCCGCGUGAGUGAUGAAGGCCUUAGGGUUGUAAAGCUCUUUUACCCGGGAUGAUAAUGACAGUACCGGGAGAAUAAGCUCCGGCUAACUCCGUG
This 433-nucleotide ribosomal RNA is filed under the name uncultured bacterium. RNAcentral's name for it is "partial 16S ribosomal RNA". It matches the Rfam family "Bacterial small subunit ribosomal RNA", at positions 29 to 507 of the family's 1533-position model. The record is from RNAcentral.